Manduca sexta (tobacco hornworm) is the source of this 1040-nucleotide long non-coding RNA. RefSeq lists it as uncharacterized. NCBI's taxonomy places the organism in Eukaryota, Metazoa, Arthropoda, Insecta, Lepidoptera, Sphingidae. The transcript has 2 exons. The record is from RefSeq and is a predicted model, not a curated record.
AGGGCGCACUGUACCUUGGCUUGACAAAACAAACGUCAAAUCGUAUGACGUAUCACUGAGUGUUUAUGAAUAUAAUAUACUUUUGUUCCAAAUGCCUCAAUGCAGUGCGUUAAAUUGUAAAAACAGAGGAAUACAUUUAUUUCCAAAGGAAAGUAAACGUAGAAAGCAAUGGGAAUCUGCGUUACGUAUAAAAAAACUUCGAAGCUAGUAGCACAGCACGAUUGUGUGUUGCGCAUUUUACAGAAAAAGAUUAUUACGGGAAAAUCAAUUAUACAGGUUAUGAGCUCCUUGCAAAAUUUCUUAAAAAGACAGCUGUGCUAUCUGUGUUCUUCUUAACGAAGAUAAAACCAGAAAAUCCAGCUGCUGUGGCACAUCAACAACGUAUUGAACGAAGAAGUCAGUCGAGUAACAAAUGUAGAUGAUUCACAACCAUCAAGUAGCAAAGUUAACCUAAUAAGUGACAGAGACAAUUUACUGGAAGUUGAUCAUGAAGAAGCAGUCAAAACAGAAGACAACAGUGCAGUAGGAUGUACAUAUAUUAUGCAUGAAUUUAUAUCUAAGGGCACUCAAGUUGAUCAAGAACACAAAUAUGGGUUUAUGAAUAGAUAUAAAGAUGAUAAUGCCACUAUUAAGUUUUACACAGGUUUUGAAUCAUAUAAAAAUUGAAUUUAGUCUACUCAGCUCUUAGUCCAGUGGUUCACAAAAUAAAAUAUUAUGGCAGCAAUGUGAUUAUUCUUAGCAGUGAUUCUAAUUCUAAUUUAUUAGUUGGUGCAAUACCUGGUAGCUUGCUGUUAUAUUGUUCUCAAGCAUUUGCAGGAUUGAUAAGUGAUCAGUAGGCAGUGGAACAAAGUGACCUUUUAGCAAAAUGUGAAAGUGGUAGUAGUAUACUGACUGACAGAGGAUUUAUGAUACAAUAUAUAUUUCAUCAGACAAAAAUGUGACCAUUAGGAUUCCCAGUUUCUUAAAAGAAAAAUUUCAGUUGCCUGGUCUUAAUGUAAUAAAAGAUAGGGAGCUUGCAAACAAAGGAGUUCAUAUAGAAA